GAUGAACGCUAGCUACAGGCUUAACACAUGCAAGUCGAGGGGAAACGACAUCGAAAGCUUGCUUUUGAUGGGCGUCGACCGGCGCACGGGUGAGUAACGCGUAUCCAACCUGCCCAUCACUUGGGAAUAACCUUGCGAAAGUAAGACUAAUACCCAAUGACAUCCCACGAAGACAUCUGAAUGGGAUUAAAGAUUUAUCGGUGAUGGAUGGGGAUGCGUCUGAUUAGCUUGUUGGCGGGGUAACGGCCCACCAAGGCAACGAUCAGUAGGGGUUCUGAGAGGAAGGUCCCCUACAUUGGAACUGAGACACGGUCCAAACUCCUACGGGAGGCAGCAGUGAGGAAUAUUGGUCAAUGGGCGAGAGCCUGAACCAGCCAAGUAGCGUGCAGGAUGACGGCCCUAUGGGUUGUAAACUGCUUUUAUAGGGGAAUAAAGUGGGUCUCGUGAGACUUUUUGCAUGUACCUUAUGAAUAAGGACCGGCUAAUUCCGUG
RNAcentral lists this ribosomal RNA (492 nucleotides) under uncultured bacterium. Its description in RNAcentral is "partial 16S ribosomal RNA". It matches the Rfam family "Bacterial small subunit ribosomal RNA", at positions 28 to 507 of the family's 1533-position model. The record is from RNAcentral.